AGGACGAACGCUGGCGGCGUGCCUAACACAUGCAAGUCGAGCGGAGAUAGACUGAUGGUAACUGAAGUUUGUCUUAGCGGCGGACGGGUGAGUAACACGUGGGCAACCUGCCUUGGAGUGGGGGAUAACACCGGGAAAUCGGUGCUAAUACCGCAUAACAUACACAAACUGCAUGGUAAGUGUAUCAAAGGAGCAAUCCGCUUUAAGAUGGGCCCGCGGCUGAUUAGCUAGUUGGUAAGGUAACGGCUUACCAAGGCGACGAUCAGUAGCCGACCUGAGAGGGUGACCGGCCACACUGGAACUGAGACACGGUCCAGACUCCUACGGGAGGCAGCAGUGGGGAAUAUUGCGCAAUGGGGGAAACCCUGACGCAGCAACGCCGCGUGGAGGAAGAAGGUCUUCGGAUUGUAAACUCCUGUCUUCUGGGACGAAGUAUGACGGUACCAGAGGAGGAAGCCACGGCUAACUACGUG
This 473-nucleotide ribosomal RNA is filed under the name uncultured bacterium. Its description in RNAcentral is "bacterial SSU rRNA". It matches the Rfam family "Bacterial small subunit ribosomal RNA", at positions 26 to 507 of the family's 1533-position model. The record is from RNAcentral.